This 253-nucleotide ribosomal RNA is filed under the name uncultured bacterium. Its description in RNAcentral is "partial 16S ribosomal RNA". It matches the Rfam family "Bacterial small subunit ribosomal RNA", at positions 524 to 776 of the family's 1533-position model. The record is from RNAcentral.
UACGUAGGGGGCAAGCGUUGUCCGGAAUCAUUGGGCGUAAAGCGCGCGUAGGCGGCCCGGUAAGUCCGUUGUGAAAGUCAAAGGCUCAACCUUUGAACGCCGAUGGAUACUGCCGGGCUAGAGUCCGGAAGAGGCGAGUGGAAUUCCUGGUGUAGCGGUGGAAUGCGCAGAUAUCAGGAGGAACACCGGUGGCGAAGGCGGGUCUCUGGGCAACAACUGACGCUGAGGAGCGAAAGCGUGGGGAGCGAACAGG